GAAAAUCUCAAUAGACAAGAAACCUAGUGGGGCUGCUGCACCUCCAAAACUUACUUCCAUGAUUAAAUCGAAAGAUGCUGCUCGAGACAAAAUAAGAGAACUUCUCUUUGAGGCUUUCUCCAAAGUUCCUGGUGAGGCUGAUGAAGAUGUUAUGGAUGAAGUAAAUGCAAGCGAUCCCAUUCGUGUUGCUGUUUCUGUAGAAUCCGUCAUGUUCGAAAAUUGGGGAGGUUCUACUGGUGCACAGAAGGCCAAGUACAGGUCCAUUAUGUUUAAUCUCAAGGAUCCGAAGAACCCAGACUUCCGAAGAAAAGUUCUUCUUGGACUUAUAAAGCCAGAAAGAAUGAUCAAUAUGAGCACAGCCGAUAUGGCUAGCGAUCAGAGAAAACGUGAAAAUGAAGAGAUUGCACAAAAAGCUUUAUUCGAUUGUGAGCGUGGAGGAG
This 440-nucleotide unclassified non-coding RNA is filed under the name Hevea brasiliensis (rubber tree). Lineage: Eukaryota; Viridiplantae; Streptophyta; Magnoliopsida; Malpighiales; Euphorbiaceae. The record is from RNAcentral.